UUAAAUACGGUGAAGAGGAUUAGUAGGUAUAUGAAAGCUUUUAGAGAGCUGUUGGUUGGUGAAAAACAGUAGCGAGUAUUAUCCGAACCUACUUUGGAGUAGUUUGAAAAACAAACCGAAGAACCUGCGUUAAGGGAAAUUGAGAAAAUUGAAAAUGAAAAUUUUUAAUUUUAAAUUGAGUGGUACCACGGAAACCCCGUCUCAUGU
RNAcentral lists this non-coding RNA (207 nucleotides) under Clostridiales bacterium. RNAcentral's name for it is "T-box sequence". It matches the Rfam family "T-box leader". From Rfam's summary of the family: Uncharged tRNA acts as the effector for transcription antitermination of genes in the T-box leader family. T-boxes are found upstream of many aminoacyl-tRNA synthetase genes and some amino acid biosynthetic genes usually in Gram-positive bacteria. The anticodon of a specific tRNA base pairs to a specifier sequence within the T-box motif, and the NCCA acceptor tail of the tRNA base pairs to a conserved bulge in the T-box antiterminator hairpin. Lineage: Bacteria; Bacillati; Bacillota; Clostridia; Eubacteriales. The record is from RNAcentral.